CAGCCUAGCUGGCCGUCUCGCAGGUCCCUCUCACCCCCUGCGCCGCCGUCGCACCGUGCCCUCCCCCAUUGCGGGCUCUGUCAUUCUCAAACCCAGGUCGACCCACUCUUCCCGCCCACUGGCCCGCCGCAGCUCCCUCCAUUGGCUCGCGGCACCUGUCCGUUUCCUGGGAGAGUUCAGCACCUCCCGGCAGGAAGAGGCUCCGGCCUCAUUGGAUCCCUUUUACAGUUGGAUUCUCCCUCUUGGAUCUGGCUCUGCCUUAGUCCGACCUAGAGGGAUCAGCUUCGCCCACGCCCACUCUCACCCGGAACCUUUCAUCUCUUAUUGAAGCCUUUUAGGCCCAUUGGGAUGUUCAUUAGAACUCUGAAAACUACAGUUCUCCCCUUUAUGAGGACUGCACCACAGCUCGCCCUCUCCUGGGUUCCGGUAAGAAGAGAUUCCAAUACCACUCUUUUUUCAGAAUUCAGAAAGGCAAGAGACCACCUUACUGAGCUUCAAACUGGGGCUGGGAACGCUGCCAUGAAUUGGGCUUGGUCUGUCUGAAGGGAGCCACCUUUUCGACAAUCCUUAGACUUCUUUUGCCUGUUGGAAUUACACCUUGGAUCGUGGCGAAGUCUAUAGAGGUCAGAUUAAGAAGAACCAAAGCAGAAUAAACGUAGAACCCGAUGCUGAGUUCACGAGUGAGGACGACCUCUUCCUAUAUGCUUUGCUAUACCCUGCGUUUUGAACAUUAAGGACGAGAUAGGAGGCCCAUAAUGUUUCUUCUUGCUUUAAUCCUGUCGUGGCAACGUUGACUUCCAGUAAGAAAGCCUGGUUGCAGAGUGAGCCCAUGGGACAGCCCUCUGAAAUUAUACUGCUUACAACCAUGCUGAGUCUGCAAGGACUUCGUCCAAGCCUUUCCGUCCAGGACCUCAAACAGAUCCAAUCACAAGAAGAGAGAUUUCAGGAAAGAGAAAAUUAUUCCUAUCAUCGGGGUUUUUGAAGAACAUGAAAUGACUGGGAAAAUAAUCAUGUUAAGUGGAAAAAAAAAAGAAAUCUAUCUGUUGUAAUUUUCAAAUAAUUUUUAAAUAAAUUUGAAAAAUUAAGAGAACUAUAUAUAUAAUACAUUCCUAAUCUUGUGAAAAAUAUAUAUGCAUUAAUAUUAUUGAAAGAAAUAUAUCAAAAGGUGAACAGCAAUUAUCACCAAUCUAGAUUAUGAGAUUAGGAGUGAUUUUUUUUCUUUGUCCUAUACUAUUUAAUAUUUUCUACCAUUAAAAUAUUCUGAUUUUCUAAUUAGAAUAGUACGUUAGACAAAGAAGGACAAAUAUCACAUGAACUCUCACUCUCUUAUGGAACAGAUCUUGUGGAAUCUAAAAAAGUUGAACUCAUAGAAAAAGAGGAAAAUGAUGGUUACCAGUUAGAAAAAAGGAAUAAGUUCAAGAGAUCUAUUGUACACCAUGGUCAAUAUAGUUAACAAUAUAUUUUAUACUUUAAAAUUGCUAAGGUAGUAGAUUUUAAGUGUUCUCACCACACAAAAAAAUAAGUAUGUGAAAAGCAUAUGGUAAUUAGCUUGAUUUAACCACGCCACAGUGCAUACAUAUGUCAAAACAUCAUGUUGUAUACUAUAAAUAUAUACACUUUUUGUCAAUUUUAAACAGGUUAUAAAAAAACAUGUUAUUGUUGAUAAUUAUGAAAAAUUUUAAUGAUGUGGAAAUGUGUACAGUAUAAUGAUAAAUGAAAGAGUAGUAAAAAUCCUUAUAAAAUAUAA
Molecule: long non-coding RNA, 1747 nt
Filed under: Homo sapiens (human)
Lineage: Eukaryota; Metazoa; Chordata; Mammalia; Primates; Hominidae
Description: HSALNT0377790
Source: RNAcentral